GACAUGCAGGAGGAGAGGGAUGAGCAGGCUGAUGCCCACACCCUACCGGCUGGUCAGGAUCAGGGUGCCUCUGGCCUCAAGAUCACCAUGCUCCCGACCAGGUGCAGUGGCUCACGCCUGUAAUCCCAACACUUUGGGAGGCGAAACGGGUGGAUGACCUGAGGUCGGGAGUUUGAGACCAGCCUGACCAACAUGGAGAAACCCCAUCUCUACUAAAAAUACAAAAUUAGCCAGGUGUGGUGGUGCAUGCCUGUAAUCCCAGCUACUCAGCAGGCUGAGGCAGGAGAAUCACUUGAAUCCAGGAGGCAGAGGUUGCAGUGAGCCGAAAUCACACCAUUGCACUCCAACCUGGGAACAAGAGCAGAACUCUGUCUCAAAAAAGAAAAAAGAAAAAAAGAGCCUCAUGCUCCCUGGGGGAAGUAGGGUGUCCUAGGAAGCGACAGCCAUGUCUUCAAACUAAAGAUCAAAAAUGAAAGAUGACAUGUGCAUGGCUUGUUGCAUGGCUGGCAGGGAAACCAGGAAGUCAAGGCUAUGCUUGUCUCCAGGGCAGUGAAGGGCACCCAUCCUGGGGCCCCAACCACUGGGAGGAGCACCUGAAGGUUUCUGGAAAGGAGCUACACACAGUUCUCCUCCAAUCCAAUACCCUCCUCUUCAGACCAGCUCUGGGCCAGGGGGUGUGCUUGGGACUGGAAACUCUGACCUGGCAGGCACAGACAAGCAACCUCCUGCAGGACGUGCACUGCAAAAAACGCCUACAACUGCUGUGAGCGCAGAAGCAGGGAGCAGGAGCCGGGGGACCGGUAUGCAUCAUGGCUUCACAGAAGAGGAGCCCCGCACUGCAAGGCUAGAGUGCAGCGGGAAGAUCACAGCUCGCUGCAGUCUCAAACUCCUGGACUCAAGCAAACUUCCCACCUCAGCUUCCUGAGUAGCUUGGAUUACAGGUGUGAGCCACUGUGCCAGGCUAUGCUGUUAUCCGGGUGGAAACCAUCUAGAAAUAAGCUAAGCAGACUGGGAAAGGUAUCUGUCAUCAGGGACCAGAAAGACAAAAAGAAGCAACUGCACUGGGCAGCGAUUUUCUUAGCCCAAGAAGGAAAGAACACAAGAGGUCAAGUGGCAGGACACACACCAACGGCAAGGGGUGUGCAUCUGGGCCCAGAGCAUGGCUGAAGCAGCCCCCAGCCGUGGGACCAUCGAGAGGAGUCAGGCCUCCAUGCAGGGCCGAGCUGGCCCAGCACCACCCAGCCUGCGGCCACCCCAGGCUAUGUUCUCACGGGGGGUGGGGGCAGGUCCACCGCUUUCUCAGUGGGCACGGCAGAGCAUCUCCUGAAUGUGCCACUAUUCUCUAGCCGCACAACCUUGGGGAAUCCAACACAGGACUUCAGUUCCACAUUUGUAAAGUGAAAGUGACAGCAAGGUCAAGAAUUAUUAAUGAGGGUCAAGUGAAAACUCACAGGAAAGGCUCUGGUCAUGCUGUGAAAGGCUCUGGUCAUCCUCAGCACAUGUUUUGGUAAAAGGGAGCAAGAGAACUUCAUGAAGCAAAGGGACCCGAGCCCAGACACCACCCAGCUCAGCAGCAUUGCUGGGGCCACCAUGUAGGUCUUGUUUCAUGCAGGUAGCCUCUGGUGCCGACAUUCUCAGCCUUAAGACCACGUGCUGCCGCCUCCUCCUCCUUCAAAGCAUCCCCCAAUCUCCCGGCUCAACACAUCUGGCAAGCUGUCUGUGUACCACAUGUAGAGAUGAGAAAAAAGUUUUUCAAGACCCACUUGGCUUCCAAACCAUUGGCUGCUCCACCACCUACCUGCUAGGUACCACUGAGCCUCAUGUGGCCCUCCUGCCACACAUGCGCCAUGGGGACUCACCGCUUUAGUGGACUCCAGGGCUCCCGAGACCAGCGCAUCUCGGCUGUCCCUGCCCUUGCUGCUAAGGUGAGGCGAUGAGGAGGGUGAGUCAUCGAUGUAGGGCAGCCCGUCUUGGUGCCGGCGCUGCUCCUCUGCCCGGUCUACAGCGCAGCCAUACCCAGGUGGUGUUCCGAACGAGCCAUCUGUGUGUGCAAAGAAGCAUCCUGUGUUAGAGACAGAGAAGGGAGCAUCCAUACCCAACCUGUCCCAGCACAUACCCAGCUGACACCAUCUCUGUUCCCGACAAGCAUCCAACAAGGACCUCGGGGAUGCUGAUGGUCCUUCACAAUGGACUGAUCAAAGACCACAAGGGUGACGGGGGAUGAACAUGGGCUCACUCCUCAGACAAUACAAGGGGCUUUCUGAGACAGGUCUGCCCCCUGGCAGGGGUUGUGACAUAAGAACUAUGUAUUUGAUCUUUGCCUACCCCACUCCCUACUUUCCUGGCACACAGUUCCUAAAAACCUUGGAAUCUCCAAAGUAAUAAAUGUCUCUAUGUAUGCUAAUGAAUGACGGGUGCCUGGGGCUCCUGGAAGGGGGCUGGUUGCCAGAAGAACCAACCACAUGAUUAGAGAGUUGGAACCCCCAAUUCUCUGGGGAAGACCCACAGCUGAAGGUUGAUCACCAAUGGCCAGUGAUAUAAUUAACCAUGCCUACACAAUGAAGGCUGUCCAAAAGGACAGGGUUGGGAGAGCUUCUGGGGCUGAAAAUGUGGCAGUGCCAGGAGAGGGCAUGGAAGCUCUGCGCUCCUUCCCACAGACCCUGCUCUAUGUACUUCUUCUGUCUGGCUGUUCCCGAGUUGUGUCUUUUUAUUAAAAAAGUCAUACAGUAA
This is a long non-coding RNA of Callithrix jacchus (white-tufted-ear marmoset), 2730 nucleotides long. RefSeq lists it as uncharacterized. NCBI's taxonomy places the organism in Eukaryota, Metazoa, Chordata, Mammalia, Primates, Cebidae. The record is from RefSeq and is a predicted model, not a curated record.